AAGAUCUGCAGAACCUUUACCUACAUCUACUGCCUGCAACGCAGCCGCUUUAAUUAAGCUAAGACCUCU
RNAcentral lists this transfer RNA (69 nucleotides) under Pachydactylus kobosensis. RNAcentral describes it as "tRNA-Ala". The record is from RNAcentral. Lineage: Eukaryota; Metazoa; Chordata; Lepidosauria; Squamata; Gekkonidae.